GAAGUUGCAGGAGCUUUAUUUUACUUGCACUCUGCUGCUUCUCAACCUAUUUAUCAUAAAGACAUCAAGUCAACAAAUAUACUAUUGGAUGAAAAGUAUAGGGCGAAAGUAGCAGACUUUGGUACAUCAAGAAUGAUUUCCAUUGAUGUUACUCACCUUACUACAGUAGUUCAAGGAACAUUUGGAUACUUGGACCCUGAAUUUUUUCAAACUAGUCAAUUUACAGAAAAAAGUGAUGUCUACAGUUUUGGAGUAGUUCUUGUUGAACUUUUAACAGGACAAAAGCCAGUAACCCUCCUAAGUCAAGAGGAAGCCAAAAGUUUAGCUUCAUACUUCAUCAUGUGUGUGGAGAAAAAUUGUGUGUUUGAUAUUAUUGAUGAAAGAGUGAUGAAGGAAGGGGAGAAUAAUCAUAUAAUGAAAGUUGUCAAUCUUGCAAGUCGAUGUUUAGAGUUGAAUGGAAAGAGACGACCAACUAUGAGGGAAAUCACGUUGGAAUUAGAAGCUAUUCGAAAAUUGGAAAAUGAGUCUAAUGCACGAGAAGGGCAUGAUGAAUUUUUUAGAAGUAAAGACUAUCAAUCUUGGGAUGAUAAUUCUAUUAUCUCAGAAAUAAUGUCAACUUUUGAUCUAAGUAGCAGAAUGACAAUCUUGAAAGAUGUUCAUACUGUUACCAUGUGAUGGAUAAAUAUUCUUAUUUUUGUGUUAAAUAAUUUUGAGGAAAUAAGAAGUAUACAACCUUCCAAAAAUUUCAACCAUUAAAAUUUUGAAGAUUAUACUUUGACAUUGUAAUGAUAUGAUGUUAUAUGAGAUUAUUUUAAAAUAGAACAAUACUCUCUUCAAUUGAUAAAUAUAUUAAUAAACGAAGCCUAUUAGAUUUAUUUGAUAAAUUGUUGAUGUCUUGCAAUAAUUAUAUAAUUAGGAAAAAUUUAAAUUGAAAUCAUAAAAGAGCUAUUUUUCAAUAUAAAAAUUGCUAUCCUAAUAAAAAAGUUUAAUUAUAAUAAACAACCUCAUCAAAUUAAAAAUUUAAUCAAUCAACUAUAUUUAAAAUUAAUAGCAUACAGAUUGGGUUUGUACGUCCACCUUUAUCCUCACAAUUUCAAUAAAAUGGGAGAAAAAAGGUAUAGCAAUUUUUUUUACAAUGAUUAAUUAAUAUAUCAUCGAAUAUUUUAACUGUGCACUGCAUUGAUUUUUGUCCAAUUUUCAAUUAUUUUUGGUUAUUUAUAAGUGUUUUUGGUUGUCAGUUAAGAAGAUCAAAGAAAAUAAUAGACAAUAAAAAACUAUUAAACCAAACAACUCAACUAAUUCGUAGCAUUUAGAAAACAAAUACUUAAAAAAACAUAAUAGAUGAAGAAAAUUGGAACUAGAUUUCCAUGUUUUAAAACUUUGUUUGAUUUCUCUCGUGCAUACUUUUAUAUGUUCUGCAAGAAAGACUUCAAAUCUCUUAAGAUUUUCUUUACUAAAAAAACUCUUAAACAUAAAUCAAUUACCCUAAACAAUAAGACACAUUUUUUUAACUAAGAACAUGUCUGGUUUUAUUCUUUUCAAGAGUGAAAGUUUUAUCACUUUUUUCUUUUCAGGAAGAUCUGUAGCAAACAUAAUUCAAUUACAAAUCAAUAUGCAUGAUAAAUUUGACGACGUUUUUAUAAAUAAUUACUUCAAAGGUUAUAUAAAAAUACCUAUUGUAACCGUAUAAAUAAUUUUAUACCAAAAAUAUGUAAGUAUUAAACUUAAAUAUUUAAUUUUUUUGCCACUAAUUUAGUUUAGUUGAUGAAAGAAGUAUUUUUUUUCUCCUUUAAGUUGUUUUAUUUGUUGACAUCAUCUCUUCGAAUGAAGCUUUGAUCUUAUCAUAACUUCUAGACCUAAAGAAAUAGGAGUACAAUACAAAAUUGGAGACAACUUCAAAAAUAUUGCAAGGAUUAUGGAGAAGGAAAAUUAUAAUAAAUGUUUGUAAAUACUAUGAAUUUUUUAUUUUGUAGACAUUAGUGAGAUAGAGUGUAAAAUGUAAAAUAUGUUUUUUCUUCCUAAAAUCUUUUAUGUUUUGUUAUCUAUUCCAUCUCUAACUUUUAACAAACUUUUACAUAGACAAGGAAAGAGAGAAAUUGAUAACAUAUAUAUUUGAUGGAUACACUUUUGCACAAAAAUAUUAUUUCUUCCAUGAAAGAAAACAAAUACCUAAUUAAUCAUAAUUAAUUCGAGUUAUUAAUGGAAUAAAAAAGUGAGACUAAAAGUAAUUACUAAUUAUAGUAUACAUUGGUUGCCUUACUUCUUUGUUUUGAAUUUUGGUGUUGGUAAGGGAUCUCAAAUAAGUUUGAUUUAUAAUUAACUUAAUCAAUUUAUAUAAAAAAAAUCUAUUAAUUUUAUUAAUUUAUGUUAUUUUUCAUGCCACCAAAAUUUCUUGAAUUCAUCCGUUUAGUUACAUAAUUCAUAAUUAUCUUUUACCUCACAAACUUUUAAGAUGAAAUAUAUUUUAUCCACACGAAAUUGAUUUUUAGGGACAUUUUUUAUAUAAAUAAGAAAAUAUUCUCAGACAUGUGUUUAAUAAAUUUUAAAUAUUUUUCAAUUUAAAUCAAUAAUUCAAGUUAUCAAACUGGUUAUGAGGCCAAACUUGUUAACUUCUCGCAAUAAUUUAGGAAAAGCUUAUAACAAAGAAUACGAUUAACUUUUGAAAAUUAAAGAACUUUCCCAUCAUCAAACAUUUGUCUAUUCUAAGUUAAACAAAGAGACUUUAAUAUUUUGUAAAAUUAAUUACGAAACAACUAAUUAUAUCAAUAUUUUUUAUUAUUAUUUAAUUUAAAGUAUGAAUAUAUGUAUAUAAUAAAAAUAAGAUUAUUAAAGUGAUUUUUUAAUGUCAAAUUAUAAUUUCUUAGAAAAAUUAAAAAAAAAUGAGUAAAGUUAGAAUAUAAUCAAAUACUCAUGGGAAAUUCACUUCAAAUAAAAAUAAAUUUAUUUAUAUAUAUACAAAGAUGUAUGGAGAUAUAUAUCGAUUAAAAAUAACAUUUAUUUAUAUUAUAUAAAUGAAUCAUUUCAUACUUUAUCAAUUGAUUUUGACAAUAUAAUAUCUCAAAUAUAUAUAUAUAUAUAUAUAUAUAUAUAUAUAUAUAUAUAUAUCACGGUAAAAACGUAUUUCAUUUAUGAAGUGACAUAAUUCAAUAUCUUUGUAUUUACUCAGCUUUUGAAAAGCCAAAUAAGAUGCUCUGAAGACCUUUUCCGGGAAGCUGGGAUAUGAAGUGACACUUUUGACUGUUUCAGAGGUCAUCCACUCAAUCAAAGCAAAAGUAAGGAGUGUCAUUUUCGCUUUAAAUAUAGAAUUCAAUGUAGAUUUUGGACUAAACCAACCUGUAUGAUUAUUUUCCAAGACGACUUCAAAUACACUAGAAUGCAAAUUCACAAUCAAUACAUUAUUUUGUUCUUAUAUAUGGAACAACAUUCACAAUCUAAUAUUACCUAUUACAAAUUCUCAAAUUAAGUCAGGUAAUCGAUUAUACCACGUGCAUCAUUUAUAAACAUAUAUUAAUAAAUGAAAAGUUAAUUUUCAAUUAAUAUAAUUAAUAAAUUCUAUCAUAAAAAAAAUAUUUUGAUUUUAACAAGAACCUCAUAAAAUAAAAAGUUUAAUCGAAAAAUUAAAUAAAGAAUGGUUUUUUUAUUUAAAAUAAUAACAUAUAAUGGAUUGGGUUUGUACAAUGACAUUUAUCCUGGCUAUCUUUCUAAUUUUGGUUUCUGUCAACCUCGGGCGCAGUGUAUGUUUCUAUCUUAUUAAUUUGGAUUGUCAAAAUAGCUUUCCUCAUGGUUAGAACUCUUAUACAAACGCGUGGAAAAGUCGCACAAGAAUUCAGAUGAGUAAGACUAACUAGCAACGCUCAGCAGUGAGUCAUUAAGAAGAAACCACGAAAUUAUUGGUUAAUAAUUAGGCAAUGAUGUGAAAAUCAUAGCAAUAAUAUAAAUACACAUCUUGGUAGAAGUUGGAAGCCUGCACACACACCUCUUGAAUCUUGAAGCCCAGCAAACCACAAUGAUUCUGAAAUUGGUAAGCCAUUUCAUCAUUUUGGUAAUAUGGUUUAUACAUGUACAGGUAUCUGCACAAGAUUACCCACAUGCACCUGUAGCAAAGCCUGGCUGUGAUUCGCAGUGUGGAGAUAUUCAAAUUCCCUUUCCGUUUGGAAUGAAUGCUUCAGAAUGCUACGCAGGGAAAUGGUUUGAAAUAGAAUGCAGAAACACUUCCACAUAUCAAACACCUUACCUCAAGUCAAUAGGACUGCAAGUCACAUCCAUUUAUGUCGAAGAAGGCACGGUUACUAUCAACAAUCCCAUUUACCGUAACAACUGCGGAACCAAAGAUCCUACGCCGGUGAACCGGUCGCUGGAAGGAAGCCCUUUCGUGUAUUCGCAGGAACACAACAAAUUUGUGGCCGCAGGUUGCGAUAUAAUUACCUUUUUGCAGGUGAAUGGGUCAGAAGGUAGUGGUUGUGUGUCCAUCUGCGACGAGGGCAUCAAGGUGGAUGAUAUCGGGAAAAUGAAGCUUAAAAACAGUGAUUGUAUGGGAAGUCCUGCUGUCAGAAUUCCCUGCCACCGUAUCUUAAGGAAUACAACACUGAAGUAAAAGGUUUCAAGGAGAAUGAAACGGAUAGUGAGUGUAGUUAUGCCAUGGUUGUACAGGAAGAAGAAGUGAGCCCAUUUUCACGGGCCUAUUAUACUCGCAAAAAAGGAGGCUACUACUUUCCUGUGAAUGGUGAGAUGAAGGAUUUGGAUGUGGUACCUGUGGUGCUUGAAUGGGAGAUUCUCAACAACUUAAACCUUAAACUUCCUCUGGAUGAUCUCUCCCACUGUUUUGACACUAAUAUUACUUCUUCACGUCGUUCCGGUAAGAGAUGUUCCUGCAUAUACGGUUACCGUUACCCUACCAAUCCCUAUGUUGAAGGAGGUUGUUCAGGUAAAUAUAUAAUUUCAACUCUACCUAAUUAUUAUUAUACUUAUUACUUACUGUAGUUAAAAAGGUUUCUUUUUGUAUGAUAAACCUCCAGGCCUCUAAUUUUUCUUUUUUACAUGCUUAAAAGCCACUUAUCAAAAUAAAAACAAUAGCAGACUUCAUUAAAAAAAUACAAUCAUCAAAAUAUUGCCGAUAAAAGUCAAAUUGUAAGAAAAUAAAAAAGAAAAAUUAAUAUUAUAAAUAUAUAUAUAUAUAUAUAUAUAUAUAUAUAUAUAUGUGUGUGUAUGUGUGUGGUUUUUUUAGUUGAUAGUGUAUCAAGUUUUAGGUUAAAAAAAGUUUCUAUUAAAAUAAAAAUCAACUUUAAAUCCAAAAGUAUUUUAAUAAUUUUGAAAUUUAAUUUAAAAUAAAAAAAAAUAGUUAUUUAUUAUUUUGGUCCACAUAGUUAUUUUCUUUUAGUUUUUUUUAUUUUAAAAAAUAACUAUAUUUUAUUUUAUUUUUUAUUUUAAAAAACAACUAAUUUUAAAAAAUAUAUAAUAAAAAAUAAUAAAUUCACCAUGAUAAAUAAUUACCUUUUACUUUUUUAUUUUAAAUUAAAUUUUAAAAUUGUUAAAAUAUUCUGUGAUUUAAAGUUAGUUUUUAUUUUAGUAAAGACUUUUUUUAACCUAAAAUUUGAUAUAUUUUGCUAAAAUAUAUCAACUAAAAACAUUUAUGUAAAUUAAAAAACCUAUAUAUAUCAAAUAAUAUUACUAAAUAAUAUUAUUUUCUUUAACUAUAUUUCCUGGUUCGAGAUACAGAAUAGUCUCAUUUAUAUAAAUCUUACUAUAUAUCUUAUUUGAUUUAAAGACGUUUGGAGAAAAUAAUAACAUUUAUUUAAAAUUGUGUAUAUCAUAGUUGAAAUAUCUGAGAAUAUCCAUAUAUUUUUUAUUAAAAUUAUAAAACAACCAACAAGCCAUUUACACUAUAUAAUCAUAUUGUAGUUAAUUAAAAAAAUUACAACUCUUUUAUUUUCUCAAUUGUGUCCUAUUUCUUAUAUUUUUCUUCAAUAAAAUCAUAUAUAAAUAUUUUAAACUAUAUUUAUCACAUUUCAGAUUAUUAUCAAUUCAACCGGAAUUCGCUGAGUCACGUGACAAUAUCUAUCAUAAAAGGUAUGUAUGAAGUAUGAAUAUGAAGUUGUUAAUAAUUUAUAUGAUUAGGAAUAAUUAUAUUAACUAGUGUAAACACAUAAUAUGUAGGCACGGUCAUGAAUGUGUGUGUGUAUAUUUUAAAUGCAUAUAAUAUUAUAUUGGUAGAUAAUAAUAUUUUAAUUUGAGUAAAUUAAUAUAUGAAAUAAAUUUAUAUUUUAUUAUGAACAAACUAUAAUAUUUAUUGGUAUACAUAUAUUUAAAAUGAACUUGAACUCUGCUGCAACGUUUACAAAUAAUUACUUUUGAUAAUGAAAAAAUUAAUGUUUGCUUAAGUGACAAUUGUUCAAUAAAUGUCAGUGUUAGAACAAUAUUUCCUAUUUUAGAAAUGUUAAUUGUUUUUUGUCUAUCACUUUUUAUUUACUGUAAAUAGUUCUUGUUGCCUUUGUUGUAUAGUUAUUCUUCUUCUAUUUGCAAUAUUUACUCUUCAUCUUUGCCUUUAUUGAUGCUGUGUUAAUAUGUUGUCAUUUAUCAAAAUGCAUAAUUAAAUUAAUUUUUAAAUUUUAAAGAAAGAACUCAUAUAAUAUAUAUAUAUAUAUAUAUAUAUAUAUAUAUAUAUAUAUAUAUAUAUAUAUAUAUAUUGUAUCAAAUACAAGAAAUUUUUCAUAUCUCAUUAAUAAUUCAUAAUAGAUUACAUGCAUUAAUCCCUUAUUCUACUCAAACACAAGCAAUAAAUUAUGGUCAUUAAUUUCAAAUUCUAUUUUACUUCGCAUAGCUUACCUGAAGUACAUAAUUACAUAAUAAUAUUUUAAUUUCUCUUUGAUAAAAACAUUCAAUAAAAACGGAUUGACUUUCAUUUGAGCAAGAAAUUUGCACCUGAGUGGAAAUAAGAAUAAGCUUGCUUAUCUACUUUGUUUUGGCUACAAUAAAAUUUGUCUCUUUGAUUUUGUUUGAGUGAAAAUUGUAUUACUAACACUCUCGCUUGAGUGAAAAAUUUGUCAUCUUAGAUUACACAUCAGCACCAUCACACUUUUACUUAAGCCAAAAAACAUCACUUGAACAAAAAUUCACCAUUUUGAAACAUUUCGCAUUUGAAUUUUUUUUGCCUAAGCAAGAAGGAUUUACUUAAACAAAAAUAAGCCCGAGAAACACCUCUCCUCUCAAGAGAGGAAAAAUCCAUUUUUUCCCAAACAAAGAAGUUCUCUACUUCGUCAUGUAUUAUCAACAAACAAUUAAACAAUGACUUAAACAUCCACAGCAAUACAAAAUCAAGGUUUCAAACAAAUAAUACACAUAAAAAUUACUAAGACAUUUGCAUAUCAUACAUUCCAUUUAUUAUUUUUAAAUGUUAACAAAAUAGUUUGAGUUGUAUAAUUUCAUUAUAUAUAUACACAAAUGAAUGAAGAAUAUUAGGUUUUUACAUAUGUUGGUUUAAUCAUAAUUGUUAUGCUUUCUAAUUAAUGAUUAAAGACUUAUUUUAAAGUUUUGAUGUGGUAAAAUAUGUAGGAGUUUCUACAAGUUUUGGAUCUAUUAUUUUACUUCUUAUUUUAUGGCGGGUGUUCAAGGUUACAAAAAAAACUAUAGUGAAGAAAUACAGAGAAAAAUUGUUCAAAAGAAAUGGAGGGUUAUUGUUACAACAAAAAUUGUCUUCUGGUGAAGUUAAUGUGGAUAAAGUUAAACUCUUCAGUUUAAAAGAAUUGGAGAAGGCCACUGAUAACUUUAAUACAAAUAGAGUACUUGGAAAAGGAGGUCAAGCUACUGUUUACAAAGGCAUGUUGAUAGAUGGAACAAUNAUUGCAGUGAAAAAAUUUAAGGUCCAAGGAAAGAUUGAAGAAUUUAUCAAUGAAUUUGUCAUUCUUUCACAAAUUAACCAUAGGAACGUGGUUAAGUUNUUAGGAAGUUGUUUGGAGACUAAAAUUCCUUUGCUUGUCUAUGAAUUCAUACCUAAUGGUAAUCUUUUUGAGUACUUGCAUCAACAAAAUGAGGAUAUGCCAUUGACUUGGGACAUGCGUUUGAGAAUUGCCAUUGAAGUUGCAGGAGCUUUAUUUUACUUGCACUCUGCUGCUUCUCAACCUAUUUAUCAUAAAGACAUCAAGUCAACAAAUAUAUUGUUGGAUGAAAAGUAUAGGGCAAAGGUUGCAGACUUUGGUACAUCAAGAAUGAUUUCCAUUGAUGUUACUCACCUUACUACAGUAGUUCAAGGAACAUUUGGAUACUUGGACCCUGAAUUUUUUCAAACUAGUCAAUUCACAGAAAAAAGUGAUGUCUACAGUUUUGGAGUAGUUCUUGUUGAACUUUUAACAGGACAAAAGCCAAUAACCCUUCUAAGUCAAGAGGAAGCCAAAAGUUUAGCUUCGUAUUUCAUCAUGUGUGUGGAGGAAAAUUGUGUGUUUGAUAUUAUUGAUGAAAGAGUGAUGAAGGAAGGGGAGAAAUGUCAUAUCAUGAAAGUUGUCAAUCUUGCAAGUCAAUGUUUAGAGUUGAACGGAAAGAGGAGACCAACUAUGAGGGAAAUCACGUUAGAAUUAGAAGGUAUUCGAAAGUUGAAAAAAGAGUCUAAUGCACAAGAAGGACAUGAUGAUUUUGUUAGAAGUGAAGACUAUCAAUCUUUGGAUGAUCAAUCUAUUAUCUCAGAAAUAAUGUCAACUUUUGAUUUAAGUAGCAGAACAACAAUCUUGAAAGAUGUUCAUAUUGUUACCAUGUGAUGGGUAAGUAUUCUUAUUUUUGUGUUAAGUAAUUUUGGAUAAAUAAAAAGUAUAAAUCUUCC
Molecule: long non-coding RNA, 8806 nt
Filed under: Vigna radiata
Lineage: Eukaryota; Viridiplantae; Streptophyta; Magnoliopsida; Fabales; Fabaceae
Description: long non-coding RNA (VRAD_LNC010666)
Source: RNAcentral